AAAUGCGCUAAUUAAUGUGAAUUGCAGAAUUCAGUGAAUCAUCGAGUCUUUGAACGCACAUUGCGCCCCCUGGUAUUCCGGGGGGCAUGCCUGUCCGAGCGUCAUUGCUGCCCUCAAGCACGGCUUGUGUGUUGGGUCGUCGUCCCCCCCGGGGGACGGGCCCGAAAGGCAGCGGCGGCACCGUGUCCGGUCCUCGAGCGUAUGGGGCUUUGUCACCCGCUCGAUUAGGGCCGGCCGGGCGCCAGCCGGCGUCUCCAACCUUAUUUUUCUCAGGUUGACCUCGGAUCAGGUAGGGAUACCCGCUGAACUUAAGC
This 314-nucleotide unclassified non-coding RNA is filed under the name plant metagenome. RNAcentral's name for it is "partial contains 5.8S ribosomal RNA, internal transcribed spacer 2, and large subunit ribosomal RNA". The stretch from base 1 to 104 matches the Rfam family "5.8S ribosomal RNA", at positions 51 to 154 of the family's 154-position model. The record is from RNAcentral.